GAUGAACGCUGGCGGCGUGCUUAACACAUGCAAGUCGAACGAAGCACUUAAGAUUGAUUCUUCGGAUGACGUCUUUUGUGCCUUAGUGGCGGACGGGUGAGUAACGCGUGGGUAACCUGCCUCACACAGGGGGAUAACAGUUAGAAAUGACUGCUAAUACCGCAUAACCCGAUAGGAUCGCAUGAUCCAGACGGAAAAGAUUUAUCGGUGUGAGAUGGACCCGCGUCUGAUUAGCUAGUUGGUGAGGUAACGGCCCACCAAGGCGACGCUCAGUAGCCGGCCUGAGAGGGUGAACGGCCACAGUGGGACUGAGACACGGCCCAAACUCCUACGGGAGGCAGCAGUGGGGAAUAUUGCACAAUGGGGGAAACCCUGAUGCAGCGACGCCGCGUGAGUGAAGAAGUAUUUCGGUAUGUAAAGCUCUAUCAGCAGGGAAGAAAAUGACGGUACCUGACGAAGAAGCCCCGGCUAACUACGUG
This 479-nucleotide ribosomal RNA is filed under the name uncultured bacterium. RNAcentral's name for it is "partial 16S ribosomal RNA". It matches the Rfam family "Bacterial small subunit ribosomal RNA", at positions 28 to 507 of the family's 1533-position model. The record is from RNAcentral.